GCGGUGAUAGAAAGUCAAGGACUCUAGCUAAAGUUACUAAAUCAACUCCUCUUAUUACCACUACUUCUCUUAUGAAAGCAUAUGUGUUGAAGAGGGGAAAUCGCUGCGCACUCCAAGUCCUUUGGAGCUCAACGGGAUGGAGAAGGAUCAUAGAGUAAUACCUGAAGCUUCAAGUUGGAGUAAAAAUCAAAGAAGAUACGGCUUAUUCCAGCAGAAAGAGACAAAAAGAGUCGUCGGCUAUUUUGACUAGGGUUCCAUAUUGAAGGAUUUUUUGGUUCAGAAUCAUCAUCAACCGAACUCAUAAACCAACAAUGGAAUUUAAGCUGGUAAUUAUUGGGGAUGCUAGAACAAGUACGAUAUUUGUUUCUAUUAAGAUUCGACAUAUUAGAACGAAGUGUCUGUAUCUUUUUUUUUCACUUAUAUAUAUAUAUAUAUAUAUGAUUAGAGAGAAUUUAGAUUGUAUCUAGACUGCUAUGGAGCGACUAGCGACUAUUAAAAAAAAAACUUCCGGGGUGAUAGAUUCUUUUGAAUGCUGGUUUGGUUAGUUCUUUUUUUUCUUAAUAAGAUUCAAUUAAAACUUCCUCUAUUACCCGUUGCACUUGAUUAAGCCAUUGCUAUACAUUGGACGGGUAUGAUUGGUAAGAGCCUUUGGGUCAAGCUUUCCAGUUAAUAUCUUCUAAUUUUUUGGUUUUGAUCUUCAAGUUAUUUGCAAAAUGCAGGGAAAACAUAAUUUCUUAGGAGGUUUCACUCGGGCGAAUUUGAGUCGGAAUAUGUGGGGACCCAUGAUUAUGAACUCCAUACACUGAGCUUCAUUACAAACUUUGGGAAAAUCCGUUUUCACUGCACGGACACACCUGCGCAAGAGGAUGCUCAUAAUAGACGAGAAAUGUACGCCGAUGCUCAUUGUGCGAUUGUUAUGUUUGAUGUUACCUCACCAAACUUGUUUGAUAAUCUUGAUAUAUGGUGCUGUAACCUUCGCAGGUGCAACAUGAAUAUCCCAAUUGUUUCAUGUAGAAACAAAGUUGAUCUUGAUGAUGGGUACAUGCAACAAUCUAAUAUCAUGCGUGCUUCCUCUGAACUCAAAAUUCAACGCUAGGAUAUAUCAGUGAGAAGUGGUUCCAACUUGAAGGAGCCUUUUUUGUAUUUUGCCAGAAUAUUUACAGCGAAGCCUAAUUUGGUCUUUAUGGAGUCUCCCGCGCUGGUUCCUUCGCAACUCCACUUUGGUCUUGCUGCCCAGGAACUGCAUGACGAGGCUACGUUUGCUGCUCCUGCUCCUGCUCCUGCUGCUGCUUCUGGCAGUCAACCUCUUGCCUGUUGUGAAUUGUGAUAAUGACACAGAGUAGACAAUGACUUGUGGGGUUGUAAUUAUUGGAGAGGCUCUUCUAUCCUCUUCCCCGUAAAUUACAGUCACUGUGUUGCUUUUUAUGGGUUAGUGCUUGUAGGCACCCUAUCAUUUCUUGUUGAGUAGGAAAGACGGAUUCUUAUACUUAAUUAUUUCGUAGUUUAUUGAUGGAUUCUUAAUUUUCUCGUGCUUGAUUGAAUGUUGAAAUUGACGCAUAGCGCUUGUAGGCACCCUAUCAUUUCUUGUUGAGUAGGAAAAAUGGAUUCUUAUACUUAAUUAUUUCGUAUUUUAUCAAUGGAUUCUUAAAUUUUCU
This is a long non-coding RNA of Tripterygium wilfordii, 1655 nucleotides long. RefSeq lists it as uncharacterized. The record is from RefSeq and is a predicted model, not a curated record. NCBI's taxonomy places the organism in Eukaryota, Viridiplantae, Streptophyta, Magnoliopsida, Celastrales, Celastraceae. The transcript is spliced from 8 exons.